RNAcentral lists this ribosomal RNA (301 nucleotides) under uncultured bacterium. RNAcentral's name for it is "partial 16S ribosomal RNA". It matches the Rfam family "Bacterial small subunit ribosomal RNA", at positions 509 to 807 of the family's 1533-position model. The record is from RNAcentral.
CAGCAGCCACGGUAAUACGUAGGGGGCAAGCGUUAUCCGGAUUUACUGGGUGUAAAGGGAGCGCAGACGGCUCUGCAAGUCUGAAGUGAAAGCCCGCGGCUUAACCGCGGGACUGCUUUGGAAACUGCAAGGCUUGAGUAUCGGAGGGGCAGGCGGAAUUCCUAGUGUAGCGGUGAAAUGCGUAGAUAUAUGGAGGAACACCGGUGGCGAAAGCGGCUCUUCGGCUUGUAACUGACGCUGAGGCUCGAAAGCGUGGGGAGCAAACAGGAUUAGAUACCCCAGUAGUCCCUGUCUCUUAUAC